CCCCCUUCUAUCUCUCUGUCUUUCUCUCUCGUUCUUAUUCUCUCUCUCUCCCUCUCUCUCUCUACUGCACACGCUUGCUGUGUCUGACCCCUGGGUCAUGGCGAAGUGACUUUGAGCCUUGUCUAACUGGGCCUCUUUGAGAGCAGCCCUCGCAUUCCUGCUUGCUGAGACGGGGCAGGCAGCGCUUAUUACCAGCUCCGGGGAGGAAGUUUCUGCCGGCAGGGAUUAUGCGCAGUUUCCUUGCCCAGAAGCUUUUGGGCUUUUGUCCCCUCCCACUCUUAAAAAAGCAGCGAUUUCACAAACUAGAGGUGGUGGUGCUUGUGGUGUUACGGGGAGGGGGGUGCAAACUUAAAUCUGCUGCUUUUGACUGCUGUCAGGUUUUUGUCCCUCCUCGUGUGCUGCGGUGCCUUUUCCGGGGGUGGAAGAACGCGGAGCACGUUUCGGCCACGUUCGAGCAGCGCCGGCAACAGUGGCAGUGGGAACAGCAGCAGCACAGAAGUGCAUUGUGUUUGGGACCGGCGCGGGGAGGGAGGAGGAGGGUGCUGGAUGAGCACAGCUGCGCGGCACACACUAGCCGGCUUCUCAGCUUGUCAGGCAGGCAGCAAGAAGGAGCGAAACGAGCACCCUCUUCUCUCCGCUACUGCUGCUGCUCUCCUGGGGAGGGCCCUCUGUCCAGAACACCCCACAAACCCCCCAACUCAACCAACACAAACCCCCCCUACUCGUCUACCUUGUACAGCUCCAUCCAGGAGGGAGCUUUUUUCCUUUUUUUUUACCAAAGCACCAAAGCGAAAUACGGAACGGAUCCAGGCAAGAAAAGGAUUCUUUUCCCCUUCUUCUGCUGCUGGCUACUCUUAAUCCAGUGAGUACACGGGUGGAGCAGCAGAAUGCUUUAAUAUGUUCCAGGAGCUCUGACUGCGAGCCAGGUGCAAAAAGGCAGAUGAGGAACCGGCUACUGGGACUUACAGUGCUGUACCUGCGGCAGAGUGUGUGUGCUGCACCACUGUUGGAGCUGGGUGUGUGUGUGCUGCUGCAGCAGACACCAGUUGGUAAGUGCUGCAUAUACAUAGGGCAACACAGUCAGAAAGACACACACACACACACACACACAUACAUGUAUUCAUGCCAAGAAAAAGACAGAAAGAGGGCGUUGGGUUGAAAACCUCCAUUUUUACCUCCCUCUUUUACACAAAGGCUUGCAUGGUAGACACACAGACGCACACACAUAGACACACACACACACAUUCACACACUCACAUGGACAGGCCUACAAAUGCCCAGCUCAUUUAAAACCAGGCUAAAUGUUUUGUUCUUGUUUGUAAACUGAAAAUUUGCCAAUAAACUUUAUUCUGAGUAACUGUGAAA
This is a long non-coding RNA of Astyanax mexicanus (Mexican tetra), 1365 nucleotides long. RefSeq lists it as uncharacterized. Lineage: Eukaryota; Metazoa; Chordata; Actinopteri; Characiformes; Acestrorhamphidae. The transcript has 4 exons. The record is from RefSeq and is a predicted model, not a curated record.